This 253-nucleotide ribosomal RNA is filed under the name uncultured bacterium. RNAcentral's name for it is "partial 16S ribosomal RNA". It matches the Rfam family "Bacterial small subunit ribosomal RNA", at positions 524 to 776 of the family's 1533-position model. The record is from RNAcentral.
UACGUAGGGUGCGAGCGUUAAUCGGAAUUACUGGGCGUAAAGCGCGCGCAGGCGGCUUUGUAAGACAGAGGUGAAAUCCCCGGGCUCAACCUGGGAACUGCCUUUGUGACUGCAAGGCUAGAGUACGGCAGAGGGGGAUGGAAUUCCGCGUGUAGCAGUGAAAUGCGUAGAUAUGCGGAGGAACACCGAUGGCGAAGGCAGUCACCUGGGCCUGUACUGACGCUCAUGCACGAAAGCGUGGGGAGCAAACAGG